GGAGUUGUGCCUGAAGAAAGGGCCACUUUGAUAGAGUGACUAAUGGGGGUUAAAAUCCCCCCAACUCCU
RNAcentral lists this transfer RNA (69 nucleotides) under Marukawichthys ambulator. Its description in RNAcentral is "tRNA-Ile". It matches the Rfam family "tRNA". From Rfam's summary of the family: Transfer RNA (tRNA) molecules are approximately 80 nucleotides in length. Their secondary structure includes four short double-helical elements and three loops (D, anti-codon, and T loops). The record is from RNAcentral. Lineage: Eukaryota; Metazoa; Chordata; Actinopteri; Perciformes; Ereuniidae.